Homo sapiens (human) is the source of this 117-nucleotide non-coding RNA. It matches the Rfam family "Metazoan signal recognition particle RNA". From Rfam's summary of the family: The signal recognition particle (SRP) is a universally conserved ribonucleoprotein. It is involved in the co-translational targeting of proteins to membranes. The record is from Rfam. Lineage: Eukaryota; Metazoa; Chordata; Mammalia; Primates; Hominidae.
GCCGGGCGCGGUGGCUCGCGCCUGUAAUCCCAGCACUUUGGGAGGCUGAGGCGGACGGAUCACCUGAGGUCAGGAGUUCGAGACCAGCCUGACCAACAUGGUGAAACCCCGUCUCUA